This 254-nucleotide long non-coding RNA is filed under the name Olea europaea (common olive). Its description in RNAcentral is "long non-coding RNA (OEUR_LNC007576)". Lineage: Eukaryota; Viridiplantae; Streptophyta; Magnoliopsida; Lamiales; Oleaceae. The record is from RNAcentral.
AGGGAUCCUACCAGUUCUUCAAUUUUAACUUCAUCUAGGUCCUUACUUUCCUCAAUGGCAGUGACUUUAGGCCUAAAUCUCUUGGGCAGGGACCUAAGCACUUUUCUCACAAUUUUAGACUCGGGAAUUCUCUCACCUAGAUUGAAGCUAGAAUUAACAAUGUCAUUCAAUUUAGCAUAGAAUUCGUCAAACGUUUCAUCAUCCUUCAUUCUCACUUCUUCAAACCUAGAUGCUAGCAUUUGUAACUUAGAAUU